GCAUAUCAAUAAGCGGAGGAAAAGAAACUAACAAGGAUUCCCCUAGUAACUGCGAGUGAAGCGGGAAGAGCUCAAAUUUAAAAUCUGGCGGCUUCGUCGUCCGAGUUGUAAUUUAGAGAAGUGUUUUCCGCGCUGGACCGUGUACAAGUCUCCUGGAACGGAGCGUCAUAGAGGGUGAGAAUCCCGUCUUUGACACGGACCCCCAGUGCUCUGUGAUACGCUCUCGAAGAGUCGAGUUGUUUGGGAAUGCAGCUCAAAAUGGGUGGUGAACUCCAUCUAAAGCUAAAUAUUGGCGAGAGACCGAUAGCGAACAAGUACCGUGAGGGAAAGAUGAAAAGCACUUUGGAAAGAGAGUGAAACAGUACGUGAAAUUGCUGAAAGGGAAACGCUUGAAGUCAGUCGCGUCCGCCGGAAUUCAGCCCUCGUGGUGUACUUUCCGACGGACGGGCCAGCAUCACUUUUGACCGCCGGAAAAGGGCGGAGGGAAUGUGGCACCUCCGGGUGUGUUAUAGCCCUCCGUCGUAUACGGUGAUUGGGAGUGAGGACCGCCUAUCUUGUAGGAUGCUGGCGUAAUGGCUUUAAACGACCCGUCUUGAAACACGGACCAAGGAGUCUAACAUGCCCGCGAGUGUUCGGGUGGAAAACCCGUGCGCGCAAUGAAAGUGAAAGUUGGGAAGGCUGUCGUGGCCUGCACCGACGCCCGGACUUGAGAUUUAUCGACGGUUCUGCGGUAGAGCGUGUAUGUUGGGACCCGAAAGAUGGUGAACUAUGCCUGAAUAGGGUGAAGCCAGAGGAAACUCUGGUGGAGGCUCGUAGCGAUUCUGACGUGCAAAUCGAUCGUCAAAUUUGGGUAUAGGGGCGAAAGACUAAUCGAACCAUCUAGUAGCUGGUUCCUGCCGAGU
Molecule: ribosomal RNA, 902 nt
Filed under: Dichostereum orientale
Lineage: Eukaryota; Fungi; Basidiomycota; Agaricomycetes; Russulales; Lachnocladiaceae
Description: LSU rRNA
Rfam family: Eukaryotic large subunit ribosomal RNA
Source: RNAcentral